Paramuricea clavata is the source of this 97-nucleotide non-coding RNA. The record is from the annotation of a GenBank genome assembly. Lineage: Eukaryota; Metazoa; Cnidaria; Anthozoa; Malacalcyonacea; Plexauridae.
CUAUAGGAAUUCCUAUAGGAAUUCCUAUAGGAUCCUAUAGGAAUUCCUAUAGGAAUUCCUAUAGGAUCCUAUAGGAAUUCCUAUAGGAAUUCCUAUU